Molecule: ribosomal RNA, 1454 nt
Filed under: Mycobacteroides abscessus
Lineage: Bacteria; Bacillati; Actinomycetota; Actinomycetes; Mycobacteriales; Mycobacteriaceae
Description: bacterial SSU rRNA
Rfam family: Bacterial small subunit ribosomal RNA
Source: RNAcentral
UGGCUCAGGACGAACGCUGGCGGCGUGCUUAACACAUGCAAGUCGAACGGAAAGGCCCUUCGGGGUACUCGAGUGGCGAACGGGUGAGUAACACGUGGGUGAUCUGCCCUGCACUCUGGGAUAAGCCUGGGAAACUGGGUCUAAUACCGGAUAGGACCACACACUUCAUGGUGAGUGGUGCAAAGCUUUUGCGGUGUGGGAUGAGCCCGCGGCCUAUCAGCUUGUUGGUGGGGUAAUGGCCCACCAAGGCGACGACGGGUAGCCGGCCUGAGAGGGUGACCGGCCACACUGGGACUGAGAUACGGCCCAGACUCCUACGGGAGGCAGCAGUGGGGAAUAUUGCACAAUGGGCGCAAGCCUGAUGCAGCGACGCCGCGUGAGGGAUGACGGCCUUCGGGUUGUAAACCUCUUUCAGUAGGGACGAAGCGAAAGUGACGGUACCUACAGAAGAAGGACCGGCCAACUACGUGCCAGCAGCCGCGGUAAUACGUAGGGUCCGAGCGUUGUCCGGAAUUACUGGGCGUAAAGAGCUCGUAGGUGGUUUGUCGCGUUGUUCGUGAAAACUCACAGCUUAACUGUGGGCGUGCGGGCGAUACGGGCAGACUAGAGUACUGCAGGGGAGACUGGAAUUCCUGGUGUAGCGGUGGAAUGCGCAGAUAUCAGGAGGAACACCGGUGGCGAAGGCGGGUCUCUGGGCAGUAACUGACGCUGAGGAGCGAAAGCGUGGGUAGCGAACAGGAUUAGAUACCCUGGUAGUCCACGCCGUAAACGGUGGGUACUAGGUGUGGGUUUCCUUCCUUGGGAUCCGUGCCGUAGCUAACGCAUUAAGUACCCCGCCUGGGGAGUACGGUCGCAAGACUAAAACUCAAAGGAAUUGACGGGGGCCCGCACAAGCGGCGGAGCAUGUGGAUUAAUUCGAUGCAACGCGAAGAACCUUACCUGGGUUUGACAUGCACAGGACGUACCUAGAGAUAGGUAUUCCCUUGUGGCCUGUGUGCAGGUGGUGCAUGGCUGUCGUCAGCUCGUGUCGUGAGAUGUUGGGUUAAGUCCCGCAACGAGCGCAACCCUUGUCCUAUGUUGCCAGCGGGUAAUGCCGGGGACUCGUAGGAGACUGCCGGGGUCAACUCGGAGGAAGGUGGGGAUGACGUCAAGUCAUCAUGCCCCUUAUGUCCAGGGCUUCACACAUGCUACAAUGGCCAGUACAGAGGGCUGCGAAGCCGUAAGGUGGAGCGAAUCCCUUAAAGCUGGUCUCAGUUCGGAUUGGGGUCUGCAACUCGACCCCAUGAAGUCGGAGUCGCUAGUAAUCGCAGAUCAGCAACGCUGCGGUGAAUACGUUCCCGGGCCUUGUACACACCGCCCGUCACGUCAUGAAAGUCGGUAACACCCGAAGCCAGUGGCCUAACCUUUUGGAGGGAGCUGUCGAAGGUGGGAUCGGCGAUUGGGACGAAGUCGUA